AGCUAACUGAAAACUGUAGUUCAACCUCUAUGUACUUUCUGUGAAGUACCUAGUAUUUUCUUUGCCAAGAAAGAAUGUGUGAGAGAACUGAGACUCAGACCUAGUCCUGCUGGUGGAGGUUGGGAGGGUGAUGUAGAAGGACAUUUACUGGGAAAGAGUGGAACAGACACAUAAUAAAAUACUUAUGGUAUAGUGUAGCAAUUAUCCAAUGCAUAUGUUUUGAAUGGAUACUCGAAUGAAUAUUAAAAAAGGCUGAAAGAGCUUGAAGGUGGGGCUCUGUUCCUGAAGAGAUUACAUGGGAACCUGGAAUGAUUGAAAGUUAACAGUUUGCCUGGUGAUUUAUAAGUGAAAGGCAUACUUCCAUCACAGCACUAUUAGAACGAUAUUCCAAUUGAUGGUUCAUGCAUUGAUUGAAUAAGAAGUACUUACUACCUUAUCAUAUGUCAGCAAAUUUGCUAAACUCAGAGAACAGUAAGAAAUAAAAUGAAAUAGCUAUCCUGAAAUAACUUAUAAUCUAGUUCAGGGGUUUCUAAUUUCUCCACAAAUCUGGGGAUAUGUUUUUUUCUCCCUUUUGAUUUCCAGAUCUCAGCCCAGUUCUUAGUAUACAUUGGAUUUCAGGAAAUAUAUAUUGAACACGUCAAUUCUCUUUGCAUCCCUGAAAAAAUCAUCUACUGUUUUGAAAUCUGAGACUAACAUCUCUGGAUAUAGAGAAGUAAUUGAUCUAGAGUUACACUAAGCCAAACAUAGGUAAGUUUCUCUGACCCAUUUUCAUGAUUCUUUAAUCUUUCUAGAGGUAAUCUUUCUAUGCUCUAUUUUCCUAAAAUAUAAUAAACACAUAAACAAUGGUAUAAAAUUUUAUUCAAUCAAUACAUAUUGAUCAUUUAAAGCAUUGUUUUAUUUUUUAUUGUAUGGAGUCU
This 917-nucleotide long non-coding RNA is filed under the name Callithrix jacchus (white-tufted-ear marmoset). RNAcentral's name for it is "lncRNA (ENSCJAG00000079790.1)". Lineage: Eukaryota; Metazoa; Chordata; Mammalia; Primates; Cebidae. The record is from RNAcentral.